UACGGGGGGGGCAAGCGUUGUUCGGAAUUACUGGGCGUAAAGGGCUCGUAGGCGGCCAACUAAGUCAUACGUGAAAUCCCUCGGCUUAACCGGGGAACUGCAUCUGAUACUGGAUGGCUUGAGUUCGGGAGAGGGAUGCGGAAUUCCAGGUGUAGCGGUGAAAUGCGUAGAUAUCUGGAGGAACACCGGUGGCGAAGGCGGCAUCCUGGACCGACACUGACGCUGAGGAGCGAAAGCCAGGGGAGCAAACGGG
This 253-nucleotide ribosomal RNA is filed under the name uncultured bacterium. RNAcentral's name for it is "partial 16S ribosomal RNA". It matches the Rfam family "Bacterial small subunit ribosomal RNA", at positions 524 to 776 of the family's 1533-position model. The record is from RNAcentral.